This 1570-nucleotide ribosomal RNA is filed under the name Dipus sagitta (northern three-toed jerboa). RNAcentral's name for it is "16S ribosomal RNA". It matches the Rfam family "Bacterial large subunit ribosomal RNA". Lineage: Eukaryota; Metazoa; Chordata; Mammalia; Rodentia; Dipodidae. The record is from RNAcentral.
ACUACUUCUAGCCCAAUAAAUCGAUCAACUCAAUUAUGUAAGUCAAUCAAUUAAAUCAUUCACCUUAAAUCAAAGUAUAGGAGAUAGAAAUGAUUACUGGCGCUAUAGAGAAAGUACCGCAAGGGAAAGAUGAAAGAAACUCAGUUAAAGUACAAAAAAGCAAAGAUUAACCCUUGUACCUUUUGCAUAAUGGAUCAACUAGACUCAGUCCAGCAAAAAGAAUUUAAGUCGGACAUCCCGAAACCAAACGAGCUACCUAGGAACAAUUUUAUGAAUGAACCCGUCUAUGUGGCAAAAUAGUGGGAAGAUUUCUAGGUAGAGGUGAAAAGCCUAACGAGCUUGGUGAUAGCUGGUUAUCCAGAGAAGAAUUUUAGUUCUGCUUUAAACUUACCCAAAGGACCCGAUAACCUACCUGUAAGUUUAACUGUUAAUCUAAAGAGGGACAGCUCUUUAGAUAAAGGAUAGAACCUGAACUAGAGAAUAAGACCUGUAAACAUACCAUAGUUGGCCUAAAAGCAGCCAUCAAUAAAGAAAGCGUUAAAGCUCAAAUACCCCUACUAUCCUAAUACCUGAAUUUUCACCCAUUUCCUAGAUUAAAACUGGAUUAAUCUACUAACAAGUAGAUGAAUUAAUGUUGGUAUGAGUAACAAGAAAACUUUUCUCCUCGCACAAGUGUAUAUCAGAUCGGAUACCCACUGAUAGUUAACUCAAAAUGAAAAUAUACCCUAAACCUAAACCUUUUUCUACUAAUAGAGUUAGUCCAACACAGGAGUGCACCUAAGGAAAGAUAAAAAGAAGUAAAAGGAACUCGGCAAACACAAGCCCCGCCUGUUUACCAAAAACAUCACCUCUAGCAUAAAAAGUAUUAGAGGCACUGCCUGCCCGGUGACUCACGUUAAACGGCCGCGGUAUCCUGACCGUGCAAAGGUAGCAUAAUCACUUGUUCCUUAAUUAGGGACUUGCAUGAACGGCAAGACGAGGGCUUAACUGUCUCUUACUUCCUAUCAGUGAAAUUGACCUUCCAGUGAAGAGGCUGGAAUAAAACAAUAAGACGAGAAGACCCUAUGGAGCUUCAACCAAUUGACCUACUAAACUAGUUUACUCCCCUAAAGGGCCUAAUACCUCAGUUUAUCCUAAGUCAAUGGUUUCGGUUGGGGUGACCUCGGAGCACAAAAAACCCUCCGAGUAUAUCAAACUAAGACCUACUAGUCUAAGUUAUCCAAAUUAUUUAUUGACCCAAUUUUUGAUCAACGGACCAAGUUACCCUAGGGAUAACAGCGCUAUCCUAUUCGAGAGUUCAUAUCGACAAUAGGGUUUACGACCUCGAUGUUGGAUCAGGACAUCCCAAUGGUGCAGAAGCUAUUAAAGGUUCGUUUGUUCAACGAUUAAAGUCCUACGUGAUCUGAGUUCAGACCGGAGCAAUCCAGGUCGGUUUCUAUCUAUUAGCAAUUUUUCUUAGUACGAAAGGACCAGAAAAAUAGAGCCUCCUACACUAUUAGCGCUCUCAAAUCUAUAGAUGAAAUAAUCUCAAUCUAGAAAUUAUGCAAACUCACAACCCAAGAACAGGGUU